CCUUGCUGGAGAGGUGAUACAGUCAUUUGGAGGAAAGAGGGUUGCUGUGGUAUGCUGGGGUUCCGCUUCAAUGCCUAGUCACCUCAGAUUUUCCUGUACCUGCAGGUAUCACCAGUGAAGCCUGCGAAGCAGCAAAGAUGGCAGUCUGCCCCGUCUUCUAGGAGCUCUGUCACAGGGAGGGAAUGAUACAAGCUUGUUGUGCAAGCCAGAAAUCUGAAUGUAUUCUUUGACAUCUACCACUCUUUUUCACUCUCUCCUUAUGUGGAAAGUACUAUGAAUUUAUUCUCCAAUCAUCUUUUUAAUCUGGACACCUCUGGCCAUUUCUAUUGCCACAACCAUAGUUCAAUUUAUUGUCAUCUCCUAACUGAACUACUGUAAUCGUUUCCUAAUACUCACUCAGAUGAUCUUACUUUAUGUAAUAUCUACUUCACAUACGCAGCUGGAGUAAAAUGUUACAUUACAAAUCUGAUAUGAGAAAAUUACAUCUGGGAGCAUUUUAAUUUACUUUAAUAGAGAGAUUCUUUUGUUAUGCAAAUAUCCCUUCAAUGACCAAAUUGUCUUUCUAAGGGGAUGUCAUCAAGAGGGAAAAGAGCUUAAAUUUAUUGAA
Molecule: long non-coding RNA, 607 nt
Filed under: Homo sapiens (human)
Lineage: Eukaryota; Metazoa; Chordata; Mammalia; Primates; Hominidae
Description: HSALNT0319850
Source: RNAcentral